This 506-nucleotide ribosomal RNA is filed under the name uncultured bacterium. RNAcentral describes it as "partial 16S ribosomal RNA". It matches the Rfam family "Bacterial small subunit ribosomal RNA", at positions 28 to 507 of the family's 1533-position model. The record is from RNAcentral.
GACGAACGCUGGCGGCGUGCUUAACACAUGCAAGUCGAACGGUGAAGGGACUGGUUUUGCUGGUCCUGGAUGAGUGGCGAACGGGUGAGUAACCCGUGAGUAACCUGCCCCCUUCUUCUGGAUAACCGCAUGAAAGUGUGGCUAAUACGGGAUAUUCUGGGUCUGUCGCAUGGUGGGCCUGGGAAAGAUUGCGCCUUUUUUGGAGAUUUUGGUGGGGGCUGGGCUCGCGGCCUAUUAGCGUGUCGGUGGGGUGAGGGCCUACCAAGGCGGUGACGGGUAGCCGGCCUGAGAGGGUGGACGGUCACACUGAGACUGAGACACGGCCGAGACUCCUACGAGAGGCAGCAGUGGGGAAUAUUGCACAAUGGGCGCUAGCCUGAUGCAGCGACGCCGCGUGAGGGAUGGAGGCCCUCGGGUUGUGAACCUCUUUCGCCAGUGAAGCAGGUCUGCCUCUUUUUGUGGGUGGGUUGACGGUAGCUGGAUAAGAAGCGCCGGCUAACUACGUG